RNAcentral lists this ribosomal RNA (372 nucleotides) under uncultured bacterium. Its description in RNAcentral is "bacterial SSU rRNA". It matches the Rfam family "Bacterial small subunit ribosomal RNA", at positions 524 to 898 of the family's 1533-position model. The record is from RNAcentral.
UACGGAGGGUGCAAGCGUUAUCCGGAUUUACUGGGUUUAAAGGGUGCGUAGGUGGGCAGUUAAGUCAGUGGUGAAAUCUCCGAGCUUAACUCGGAAACUGCCAUUGAUACUAUCUGUCUUGAAUUAUCUGGAGGUGAGCGGAAUAUGUCAUGUAGCGGUGAAAUGCUUAGAUAUGACAUAGAACACCAAUUGCGAAGGCAGCUCACUACGGGUAUAUUGACACUGAGGCACGAAAGCGUGGGGAUCAAACAGGAUUAGAUACCCUGGUAGUCCACGCCCUAAACGAUGGAUACUCGACAUCAGCGAUACACUGUUGGUGUCUGAGCGAAAGCAUUAAGUAUCCCACCUGGGAAGUACGAUCGCAAGAUUGAA